RNAcentral lists this long non-coding RNA (764 nucleotides) under Callithrix jacchus (white-tufted-ear marmoset). Its description in RNAcentral is "lncRNA (ENSCJAG00000063890.2)". The record is from RNAcentral. Lineage: Eukaryota; Metazoa; Chordata; Mammalia; Primates; Cebidae.
AUUUCAGGGUGCUUGCAUGGAGAGAGAGGGAGAGAGCAUGGGCAAAUGAUUGAGAUUGCCCCAAUGUGAAAAACACUUUGAAAAUGCUGAUGAUUGACCUCUCAUUGAGGAGAGAGGGAAGAAGGACGAACGAAAAUGAGGUUUUCUCUGAUGGCAAGUCAAUUUAAGAGAACCCUCUGAUCAAUGAGUGUGCUUGGUUAAGCUCUUUGAAGAUUGGUUUGAACAACAUUCCAAGAAAAGACAUAGGUGCAAAUGCUAUAAAACUGGAGUGCACAGGUGUUUUUACGAAACCAAAAGCAAUGUGGCUGGGGCAAGUAAGCAACAAAGCAAGAAGACUGUGGGAAGAUGACAUUGUGCACAGACAAGAUUAUGUGGCGCCUUGAGGGACGUGGCAAGAAGUUGGAUUUUAGUUUCCUGCAGUAAAAACCUAUUGAUGGUGAUCUGAUUACAUUGAACAUCUCAGAAACAAAAUUAUGGCUGCUGGUUGGAUGAUAGGAGAAUAAGAGUGGAAAGCAAGGAGAUGGAAACUUAACAAGCGGUUGAUGUAAAUUUGGCUAGAGAUGAUGGUGAAUUUGUAAUCACUAAGAGGUGGUAGGAUUCAGGACAUAUGUUUUGAGGGAUCUUCCUGAUGAAUGAGAUGAGAGUGAGCAAAAGAGUGGAGUCAAGUGUGCAUGUUAGUUUUGUUUGUCUUCCCCUGAGGAAUUGGGUUGUCAUUGCUGCUGUUUGCUAAGAUGGGAAAAGCUUAGAAACAAGAACAUAAAAUA